CGCGUAGGCGGCCUGAUAAGUCUGGAGUGAAAGUCCUGCCUUCAAGGUGGGAAUUGCUUUGGAAACUGACAGGCUUGAGUGCAGGAGAGGUUAUCGGAAUUCCCGGUGUAGCGGUGAAAUGCGUAGAGAUCGGGAGGAACACCAGUGGCGAAGGCGGGUAACUGGACUGCAACUGACGCUGAGGCGCGAAAGUGUGGGGAGCAAACA
This 207-nucleotide ribosomal RNA is filed under the name uncultured bacterium. RNAcentral describes it as "partial 16S ribosomal RNA". It matches the Rfam family "Bacterial small subunit ribosomal RNA", at positions 568 to 774 of the family's 1533-position model. The record is from RNAcentral.